CGCGACUGAGGCUUCGGCCUCAGUUGAGUGGCGAACGGGUGAGUAACACGUGGGUGACCUACCUUCGAGUGGGGGAUAACGUCCCGAAAGGGACGCUAAUACCGCAUAACAUCCUUCCUUUGAACAGGAGGAGAUCAAAGCCGGGGAUCGCAAGACCUGGCGCUUGAUGAGGGGCCCGCGUCCGAUUAGCUAGUUGGUGGGGUAAUGGCCUACCAAGGCAACGAUCGGUAGCCGGCCUGAGAGGGCGGACGGCCACACUGGGACUGAGACACGGCCCAGACUCCUACGGGAGGCAGCAGUGGGGAAUUGUUCGCAAUGGGCGCAAGCCUGACGACGCAACGCCGCGUGGAGGAUGAAGGUCUUCGGAUUGUAAACUCCUGUUGCCCGGGACGAACGGCUCCAACCUAAUACGUUGGAGUUUGACGGUACCGGGUGAGGAAGCCCCGGCUAACUCUGUGCCAGCAGCCGCGGUAAUACAGAGGGGGCAAGCGUUG
This 494-nucleotide ribosomal RNA is filed under the name uncultured bacterium. Its description in RNAcentral is "bacterial SSU rRNA". It matches the Rfam family "Bacterial small subunit ribosomal RNA", at positions 67 to 543 of the family's 1533-position model. The record is from RNAcentral.